CAGGAGCUGACUUUUAUUUCACUACCAAUCCAAAUGGUGAAAAACUGAAAAUACAAAUAUAAAUACAAUUUUACAAUGUGUUCAAUGAUAAUUAAAGUCCAUUAAAAAUACGGAUAAACAGUUCGUAGAUAUAUAAAGCUGUUAAAGUUCUUUAUAAUUAUGAAUAGAUGAAUAUUCUUGCACACGUCGGGUUCUGUCUUGAAUUAAAUCGUGUAAUCGCAGAUACGAACAGUUUGAACGGUAAAAUGUUCAUAGUUUCUUUAUAACAUAGGGAAAUAUAUUAAAACAGUUCAUCGCUAAUGUAAAGACAUAAUUUGUAAUGUUUUAAAGGUAACUCACGCUGUGGUUAGCCACGAAUUGUUCUUUUGGACAACGUGUCCGCUGAAUGUUCUUUGCAGUUGUGCACACGACUCGCUGAGCAGUUUACGUCAUUAGAAGAGAGGGGAAAGUAACGCGGAUUCCUACACUGUCCUGUAUAAAACUCCUAAAACUGGCGCACAUAAAGCGAUGUACGCAAUGAAACGUUAACAAUAUAAAAUGA
RNAcentral lists this long non-coding RNA (541 nucleotides) under Mytilus galloprovincialis (Mediterranean mussel). The record is from RNAcentral. Lineage: Eukaryota; Metazoa; Mollusca; Bivalvia; Mytilida; Mytilidae.